CCUCAACAGCAAAACAUAAACAAAAGCGCCUGUAUUCCGAGUCCGUAACCAGAUUCUGCCUGAUCUUGCUGUUGUUUCAUAUAGGAUGUAAGAAAAAAUGGGCUGCUCUCACAGUAAGAGACAAGCGUCGUCCAAGCCCCAACAAGUGAACGACGCUGGCGGACAUCACCAAGCAUCAGCUUUCGCCGUCCGGACGUCAGUUUCGUUGCCUUCCAGCCCGACGUUCCUAAGUACCCAGACAAGCUCUACUGAUUUUCCAAGGCGAUCCAACUAAGUGUACCUUUCGAAUAAAAGCACGACGAGAAGAUCCACCGAGAAUCUGCUUUAGAGCUCACAACGCACUUAGAGAAUCAGUGGACACGAGGUAGGAUA
RNAcentral lists this unclassified non-coding RNA (372 nucleotides) under Cimex lectularius (bed bug). Its description in RNAcentral is "uncharacterized LOC112128247, transcript variant X4". The record is from RNAcentral. Lineage: Eukaryota; Metazoa; Arthropoda; Insecta; Hemiptera; Cimicidae.